This 371-nucleotide unclassified non-coding RNA is filed under the name uncultured Gammaproteobacteria bacterium. RNAcentral's name for it is "contains 16S-23S intergenic spacer region". Lineage: Bacteria; Pseudomonadati; Pseudomonadota; Gammaproteobacteria. The record is from RNAcentral.
UCCGGUUUAACACCGGCAGUCCCAUUAAAGUGCCCAACUUAAUGAUGGCAAUUAAUAGUAAGGGUUGCGCUCGUUGCGUCACUUAAGACAACAUCUCACGACACGAGCUGACGACAGCCAUGCAGCACCUGUGUCUAGGUUCCCGAAGGCACAAUCGCAUCUCUGCAAUCUUCCUAGCAUGUCAAGAGCAGGUAAGGUUUUUCGCGUUGCAUCGAAUUAAUCCACAUCAUCCACCGCUUGUGCGGGUCCCCGUCAAUUCCUUUGAGUUUUAAUCUUGCGACCGUACUCCCCAGGCGGUCUACUUCUCGCGUUAGCUUCGCUACUGAGAUAAAUCCCAACAGCAAGUAGACAUCGUUUAGGGCGUGGACUAC